RNAcentral lists this ribosomal RNA (486 nucleotides) under uncultured bacterium. RNAcentral's name for it is "bacterial SSU rRNA". It matches the Rfam family "Bacterial small subunit ribosomal RNA", at positions 57 to 541 of the family's 1533-position model. The record is from RNAcentral.
GCAAGUCGAGGGGCAGCACGGUUUUCGGACUGGUGGCGACCGGCGCACGGGUGCGUAACGCGUAUGCAAUCUACCUUAUACUGGAGGAUAGCCCGGGGAAACUCGGAUUAAUACUCCAUGGUAUCACAGAUAGGCAUCUUGAAGUGAUUAAAGAUUUAUCGGUAUAAGAUGAGCAUGCGUCUGAUUAGAUAGUUGGUGAGGUAACGGCUCACCAAGUCAACGAUCAGUAGGGGUUCUGAGAGGAUGAUCCCCCACACUGGCACUGAGAUACGGGCCAGACUCCUACGGGAGGCAGCAGUAGGGAAUAUUGGUCAAUGGGCGAAAGCCCGAACCAGCCAUGCCGCGUGCAGGAUGACGGCCUUCUGGGUUGUAAACUGCUUUUAUAUGGGAAGAAAAAGGCCUUGCGAGGCAAAUUGCCGGUACCAUAUGAAUAAGCACCGGCUAACUCCGUGCCAGCAGCCGCGGUAAUACGGAGGGUGCAAGCGU